Molecule: ribosomal RNA, 398 nt
Filed under: uncultured beta proteobacterium
Lineage: Bacteria; Pseudomonadati; Pseudomonadota; Betaproteobacteria
Description: bacterial SSU rRNA
Rfam family: Bacterial small subunit ribosomal RNA
Source: RNAcentral
CAAGACCUCACGUUAUAGGAGCGGCCGAUGUCCGAUUAGCUAGUUGGUGGGGUAAAGGCCUACCAAGGCGACGAUCGGUAGCUGGUUUGAGAGGAUGAUCAGCCACCCUGGGACUGAGACACGGCCCAGACUCCUACGGGAGGCAGCAGUGGGGAAUUUUGGACAAUGGGGGAAAGCCUGAUCCAGCCAUUCCGGGUGGGGGAAGAAGGCCUUUGGGUUGUAAACCGUUUUAGUCCGGGAAAAAGGGGUGCGAGGAUAAUACCCUCGUGCUUUGAUGGUACUGGAAGAAUAAGCACCGGCUAACUACGUGCCAGCAGCCGCGGUAAUACGUAGGGUGCGAGCGUUAAUCGGAAUUACUGGGCGUAAAGCGUGCGCAGGCGGUUUUGUAAGACAGUCGU